RNAcentral lists this ribosomal RNA (653 nucleotides) under uncultured Lachnospiraceae bacterium. Its description in RNAcentral is "bacterial SSU rRNA". It matches the Rfam family "Bacterial small subunit ribosomal RNA", at positions 57 to 723 of the family's 1533-position model. The record is from RNAcentral. Lineage: Bacteria; Bacillati; Bacillota; Clostridia; Lachnospirales; Lachnospiraceae.
GCAAGUCGAACGAGCGAGAGAGAGCUUGCUUUCUCAAGCGAGUGGCGAACGGGUGAGUAACGCGUGAGGAACCUGCCUCAAAGAGGGGGACAACAGUUGGAAACGACUGCUAAUACCGCAUAAGCCCACGACCCGGCAUCGGGUAGAGGGAAAAGGAGCAAUCCGCUUUGAGAUGGCCUCGCGUCCGAUUAGCUGGUUGGUGAGGUAACGGCCCACCAAGGCGACGAUCGGUAGCCGGACUGAGAGGUUGAACGGCCACAUUGGGACUGAGACACGGCCCAGACUCCUACGGGAGGCAGCAGUGGGGAAUAUUGCACAAUGGGGGAAACCCUGAUGCAGCGACGCCGCGUGGAGGAAGAAGGUCCUCGGAUUGUAAACUCCUGUUGUUGAGGAAGAUAAUGACGGUACUCAACAAGGAAGUGACGGCUAACUACGUGCCAGCAGCCGCGGUAAAACGUAGGUCACAAGCGUUGUCCGGAAUUACUGGGUGUAAAGGGAGCGCAGGCGGGAAGGCAAGUUGGAAGUGAAAUCCAUGGGCUCAACCCAUGAACUGCUUUCAAAACUGUUUUUCUUGAGUAGUGUAGAGGUAGGCGGAAUUCCCGGUGUAGCGGUGGAAUGCGUAGAUAUCGGGAGGAACACCAGUGGCGAAGGCG